Molecule: ribosomal RNA, 520 nt
Filed under: uncultured Glomus
Lineage: Eukaryota; Fungi; Glomeromycota; Glomeromycetes; Glomerales; Glomeraceae
Description: SSU rRNA
Rfam family: Eukaryotic small subunit ribosomal RNA
Source: RNAcentral
AGCAGCCGCGGUAAUUCCAGCUCCAAUAGCGUAUAUUAAAGUUGUUGCAGUUAAAAAGCUCGUAGUUGAAUUUCGGGAUCAAUAUAUCGGUCGUGCCUUGGUACGUACUGGUAUCAUUGGUUUCUCCUUUCUGACGAACCAUGAUGUCAUUAAUUUGGUGUUAUGGGAAGUUAGGACUGUUACUUUGAAAAAAUUAGAGUGUUUAAAGCAGGCUUUAGCUUGAAUACAUUAGCAUGGAAUAAUGAAAUAGGACGCUCGAACCUAUUUUGUUGGUUUCUAGGAUCAACGUAAUGAUUAAUAGGGAUAGUUGGGGGCAUUAGUAUUCAAUUGUCAGAGGUGAAAUUCUUGGAUUUAUUGAAGACUAACUACUGCGAAAGCAUUUGCCAAGGAUGUUUUCAUUAAUCAAGAACGAAAGUUAGGGGAUCGAAGACGAUCAGAUACCGUCGUAGUCUUAACCAUAAACUAUGCCGACUAGGGAUCGGAUGAUGUUAAUUUUUAAUGACUCAUUCGGCGCCUUACG